CCUGCUAGAUGAAGAGGAAGAGAAAGAAAACUCACAAAAGAGCAUAGAAUACGCGACCGACCAAGAGGAGUUUUUGUGAUAACGCUUGGUCAUCUCUUGACGGAGAGAGUCUCAGAUCAAAAACCCUGAUCAUAGCAACAGUACGGCAUAUGAGGGGGAAUAAUGCGAAUGCCAUCCAGCUAUCGUCGGGGCCCCAUGAUCGAUUUGAAGACUUGAUCAUAUCGCACUUUGCGAGUAAUCGGUAGCCACCUCGAAAUAGAAUUUGAAGAGAACUGAGCACAGCACAAACGACUAUCUGUGUGGCUUCUGAAGUCCAUCUCAUUGACGUUGCUGGAAAGAGGCUAGAGAAGCAAGAAAAACUGAUAUCUGGCUCUGUGCAUUGCCUUGGACAAGCUUCAGUUCAGCACCCAACAACUCGAGAAUGAAUGAAUAAUGGAUAUCUGAGUACGCAAAACAGGGCACAUCGGAAACAGAAAAUGGUUGGAUUUUUCAAGAGCUGGGGUUUUCUAUUGUUUUUCAACCCGGGUAUAGCCCUGCACUUGGUGUAUUCGUUUCCACAAAGGCAGAACAGAAACGCGAUUGGUAAUCGGC
Molecule: small RNA, 591 nt
Filed under: Histoplasma capsulatum var. duboisii H88
Lineage: Eukaryota; Fungi; Ascomycota; Eurotiomycetes; Onygenales; Ajellomycetaceae
Description: Histoplasma capsulatum H88 hypothetical RNA
Source: RNAcentral